ACUACCGCUCUUCCCACCAUACACACCUGCCGGCCAUCAACUCCAAUCAAGCCCAGUAUAUAAACCCCGGAUUGACUCACCACCUUCGCUUGAUCGUUGCUCCUGCCUACUUGCCAUUGCCUUCCUCGUCACUCUGCCUCCAGUCAGCUGGCUCCUCCAUCCAGUUCCCCCUCACGGUUUCCUGCACCAGCCUGCCUCAGCCCUCGCCUCUCCGCGCUCCAGUACUUCCCUGUCGAGUUCUCAGACCCGGUCUCCCCGUGCCUCUGUUCCCGGUUCCAGCCCCCGUGCCUGUGCUCCCCUCUCUGGCAUCCACCUCCCCACUUCCCCAUUCACUUUCCCACUUUUCCUAAUAAAGUGAUUUGUGCUGA
Perca flavescens (yellow perch) is the source of this 368-nucleotide long non-coding RNA. RefSeq lists it as uncharacterized. NCBI's taxonomy places the organism in Eukaryota, Metazoa, Chordata, Actinopteri, Perciformes, Percidae. The record is from RefSeq and is a predicted model, not a curated record. The transcript is spliced from 2 exons.